Parasteatoda tepidariorum (common house spider) is the source of this 856-nucleotide non-coding RNA. Lineage: Eukaryota; Metazoa; Arthropoda; Arachnida; Araneae; Theridiidae. The record is from RefSeq and is a predicted model, not a curated record.
CUAAAAUUUUCCUAAUCAAGAAAAUAUACUAAUAUUUUUUGAUGAAAUUGUACUAAUACAAUUAUGCAAUCAGAAUUUUUCGAUUGUUAUUUCAGUGUAUUAUACAUUUGUCUACUUUUAGAUUUUUGAUAAAUAUCUUUUGCUACACAAAUUUCGUCCAAAGAUUUGUUAGCGUCAUCCACAUCAGUAUUCAUUAGUUUAAACUUUAACAAAAUUAAAUUUUGAUGAAAAAUUAAAAAUAAGCAAUUAUUUAGUUUUAAAAAACUGAAGUAAAACUUGCUUGACAUUUUUCAGAAAAUAUAUAUUUUAUCAUUUAAUCUAUUUCAUCUUUAAUUCUUUCUGAAAGGUUUAGUGCUUUCACAAGAGAUUCUCAAAAGUACAAAAAAAAAUUAGAGAGAAAACUAAAAUCAAAUAUUUAAGUUAAAAUCUAAUAUAAGAGUAAAGGUCUCAUAAAAGCAUGGUAUAGUAGAACAUUUAUUCAUAAAAGCAAAACUUUAAGUAAAUUAGAUUAAUAAGUUGUUUUUCAAACAGUUUCCAUUCAUUCUAAGACUCGUGUCCUCGACGUUUCAUUUUCCGCUUCUUCCACUAAGUUCUUCAUUUACUUAUUAAGCUACAAAUUAUGACAGUUAAAAUUUAUAAUUCAUCUAAAUAUUCUUGUCCACUGUCUAAGGUUUUAUCAUGUUAGUAAUGUUUAAUAUUUUUCUCUUUUAGCUUUAUCCUUAUCAUUUAUUAGUUACUGGUAAUUAUCGAUUACCUCCAGAUGUAGAUCGAUGCCAUUUAGAACGUCAUCUUUCAAAUGAAGAAUUUCACGCUAUAUUUCACAUGACCCGCUUAGAGUUCUAUCGCCUGCCAGAGU